Molecule: ribosomal RNA, 492 nt
Filed under: uncultured bacterium
Lineage: Bacteria
Description: partial 16S ribosomal RNA
Rfam family: Bacterial small subunit ribosomal RNA
Source: RNAcentral
AGUGAACGCUGGCGGUAUGCCUAAUACAUGCAAGUCGAACGGCCACACAGUAAGAUUGUGCCUUUACGGUUGGCGGGUGGCGGACGGGUGAGGAAUGGAUCGGAAUCUACUUUUUCGUGGGGGACAACGUAGGGAAAGUUACGCUAAUACCGCAUAUGUCCUACGGCUUAAAGCAGUGGAUAUUCGCACCUUUCCCGUUUGAUUUAGCCGAAGUCGGAUUAGCUAGUUGGUGGGGUAAAGGCUCACCAAGGCAACGAUGCGUAGCUGAUCUGAGAGGAUGAUCGGCCACACUGGAACUGAGACACGGUCCAGACUCCUACGGGAGGCAGCAGUAGGGAAUCUUGCGCAAUGGGCGAAAGCCUGACCCAGCAACGCCGCGUGAGUGAAGAAGGCCUUCGGGUCGUAAAGCCCUGUUGUUAGGGAAGAACAGCAGCAGAAGAAUCCCCGGAUGUUUUGACGGUACCCAAUCAGUAAGCAACGGCUAACUUCGUG